UACGAAGGGGGCUAGCGUUGCUCGGAAUCACUGGGCGUAAAGCGCACGUAGGCGGACUCGUAGGUCAGUUGUGAAAUACCUGGGCUCAACCCGGGAACUGCAGCUGAAACCGCUUGUCUUGAAUACCUGAGAGGGUGGGGGAAUACCUGGUGGAGAAGUGAAAUUCGUAGAGAUCAGGUGGAACACCGGAGGCGAAGGCGCCUGCCUGGCAGUGUAUUGACGCUGAGGUGCGAAAGUGCGGGAGCAAACAGG
RNAcentral lists this ribosomal RNA (252 nucleotides) under uncultured bacterium. Its description in RNAcentral is "partial 16S ribosomal RNA". It matches the Rfam family "Bacterial small subunit ribosomal RNA", at positions 524 to 776 of the family's 1533-position model. The record is from RNAcentral.